RNAcentral lists this small RNA (28 nucleotides) under Bombyx mori (domestic silkworm). RNAcentral describes it as "ovarian small RNA-31019". Lineage: Eukaryota; Metazoa; Arthropoda; Insecta; Lepidoptera; Bombycidae. The record is from RNAcentral.
UGAAGUCUGAAGAACCACCAAAAUCACA